CCGGCAGCUGCAGGGCACAAGAGGCCAUUUACAGGAGACCCCUGACCUGGCCGGCCUCUGCAUCGGAGAGGCCCCCAGGCACCAUCCGCCGCCCCCCCAGGGGCAGAGGCUGCAGGAAGAAAUCUCUCCCACUGAACAAAUUGCCCUGCUACUCACUGGCUUGUGGGUGACCCCGCAGGGUUCUUGUUCUGUCCGUGUCCCAUGGCUACAUAAUCCAGGGGGAGGCAAACUGUGGCCCAGAGACCAAAUCCUGCCUGCUGCCUUUUCUUAUAAAUAAAGUUUUAUUGGAACACGGCCACAUCCAUUCAUUUCUAUAUGUCAUGCUUUGAGCAGUUGUGACAGAGACUGUGUGGCCCACAGGCCUAAAAUAUGCACAAUCUGGUCAUUUAUGGAAAAAGUUAGUGAAUUUCUGAAAUAAAUUAUCAUCAAAUCCCAGCCUUCCCAGAGUGAAGGGGGUGUUAUUAAUUUCACUGUGGCCGGCACAGUGUCUCAUGCCUGUAAUCCCAGCACUUUAGGAAGCAGAGGUGGUAGGAUCACUUGAGGUCAGGAGUUUGAGACCAGCCUGGCCAACAUGGCAAAACCCUGCCUCUACCAAAAAAUACAAAAAUUAGCCAGGCGUGGUGGUGGGCGCCUGUAAUCACAGCUACUCGAGAGGCUAAGGCAGGAGAAUUGCUUGAACCCAGGAGGCGGAGGUUGCAGUGAACCAAGAUUGCACCACUGCACUCCAGCCUGGAUGACGGAGUAAGACUGUGUCUCAAAAAUAAUACUAAUUAUUACUAUUAUUAUUUCACUGUGAUAACAAGUGUAAUUAGAUUAGUGGUUCUUGAUCCUUAAGACGUAGUUAGAAUCGCCUGAAAGAUUUUCUAAAAAUCAAAGCUCUCAUGGCUUAGCCCAGAUCAACUAAAUUCAUCCUCACAAUUAGCUGCUAUAAUGAUUAACAUGCCCAUUUUGGAGAUGGGAACACGGAAGCUCAGAGAGAUGAUCUACUUGUCAGGAUCACCCAGCUAGUCAGUGCUGGGGCUGGGAUUUGGACCUGGGCAGUUGAAUGCCACAGGCUCGGCUUCUUACCACUAUGUGGGUGUUUUCCAGGUACACAGUUUGCCCAGAUUCUUCAUUGCAACAAGGGAGAGGGUCUUGGCCCGUGGCGUAAAAGAAGGAUGGGGUGGAGGGGGAAGCCCAGGUAACUUGAGCUUGGUAAGUCUCAUCGUGCAAUGGUGCUUGAAAUGUUGCUAUUUUCCAGCUUGAUCAAAAUGCUGUCAUGCUUAUUACCUGGGACUUUCUGCAUGAGGACAAGGACCUGGUCUGUUAGAGCAGGAGUCCUCAACCCCCAGGCCACAGACUGGUACCAGUCUGCAGCCUCUUAGGAACUGGGCCAUACAGCAGGAGGUGAGCGCAGGGCAGUUGACGGAAAGCAAGCUCAGGGCUCCCACUGGUUCUACGUUAUGGAGUCUCACUCUGUCGUCCAGGCUGCGGUGCAGUGAUGUGAUCUCAGCUCACUGCAACCUCCACCUCCCGGAUUCAAGUGAUUCUCCUGCCUCAGCCUCCCUAGUAGCUGGGAUUACAGGCACAUGCCACCAUGCCCAGCUAAUUUUUAUAUUUUCAGUAGAGACGGGGUUUUGCCAUGUUGGCCAGGCUGGUCUUGAACUCCUGACCUCAAGUGUUCUGCCGGCCUUGACCUCCCAAAGUGCUGGGAUUACAGGCAUGAGCCACCGUGCCCCGCCUGGUCUCAUCUGAUUUUUAGCAACGGUGGGGUCAACCUGAUUAAUUGCCCUGAAUUUUCCCGUGUUCUUCCUCUCUCCCUCUCUUUCUUCCUAAUGAUGACAUUUAUGUACUGCACAUGAAGCCCUGUCUGAGUGCCUUAUGUUUUAAUUGCUAAGCACCUGCCUAUUGUUUGCAAGGCCCUGGAAUACAAGGUGAAGACACUGGAAAAAGUCCUGGCCCCUAGCCCUAGCAAAAACAAUCAUAUGCAUGAGCAUUCGAGUUUUUUUUGGAAUAUUCAGCAAUUACAAUCAAAAUGCCAUUAACAGUUUUUACAAGGCCAGGCACAGUGGCUCAUGCCCGUAAUCCCAGCACUUUGGGAGGCUGAGGUGGGCAGAUCACCUGAGGUCAGGAGUUCAGGACCAGCCCAGCCAACAUGGUGAAACCCAGUUUCUACUAAAAAUACAAAAAUUAGCCAGAUGUCUUGGUGCACGCCUGUAAUCCCAGCUACUCAGGAGGCUGAGGCUGGAUAAUUGCUUGAACCUGGGAGGUGGAGGUUGCAGUGAGCCGAAGUUGUGCCAUUGCACCAAAGCCUGGGCAACACAGUGAGACUCUGUCUCAAAAAAAAAAAAAUCAAAAGGAUACUAUUUCAUGACAUAUGAAAAUGAUAUGCACUUCAAAUGUCAGCAUCCAUAAAUAGAGUUUUAUUGGAGGAAUACCAUGCCUGUUUGCUUAGUAUGGUCUACAGCCACUUCUGCACUCCAAGGGCAGAGAUGAAUAUUUGCAGGAGAGAUGGUGUGGCCUCCAGUGUAAAAAGCAUCUACUGUCUUAUCCUUUAUGGAAAAGUAACUAAUGAUAAUAUUACAAAUACCUACAGGGUGCAGUUGUGUGCCCGGCACCCUUUUAAGUGCUUUCUACAUAUGGGCUGGUUUAAUGCCUCAGCCCCUCUGGGGCAGGAGUGCUACUGUUAAUUAUGAUCCUCACGUUGGAGACAAGAACAGGAGGCACAGAGAGAGUAGGUUCCUUGCACACGGAUUCACAACUGGUAAGUGGUCAGAAGCAGGAUUUGAGCCUAGGCAGUUCCCGAUACAGAGUCUAAUUUUAUUUUUAUUUUUAUUUAUUUGUUGGAGACAGAGUCUCACUCUGUCACCCAGGCUGGAGUGCAGUGGCAUUAUCUCAGCUCACUGCAACUUCCACCUCCAAGGCUCAAGCGAUUCUCCUGCCUCAGCCUCCUGAGUGGAUGGGGUUAUAGGCACCCACCACUAUGCCCGGCUAAUUUUUGUAUCUUUCAGCAGAGACGGGGUUGGCCAGGCUGGUCUGGAACUCCUGGCCUCAAGUGAUCCACCCAUCUCAGCCCCCCAAUUGCUGAGAUUAUAGGCAUGAGCCACUGUGCCUGGCCCAGAGUCUGAUUUUAAUUUAAAAAAAGAAAAUCCUAUACCACAACGUUAAAGGAAUGAAGUUGGAAAGUAAAUGUUUUGUUUGUUUUGUUUGGUUGUUUCCUGAUGGCUACUUUGUGUUUUUUGAACACUAAGUAGCAAUUUUUCCCCCUAAAAUGUUCUCCUCUUGUGUUUUGUGGACAGUGGCUAUGGUGGUGCCCCAGGGUUACUGGUAACUUCAAAACAUGGUUAACUUGCCUACUGGGUACCCUAAUAGCACAUGGGGAAGUAUCAACGUCAUCGUCAUCAUCAUCAUCAUCUUUCUACAGAGGAAACUGAGGCCCAGAGACGGUGAACUUCCUGCCCAAGAGAUAGACGAAGCAGACCACGAUCCAGACGAGAGGCAGCCACAGCCCGUUGAGGUAGAGGAUGCUCUCGGUCAGCCGCUGCACGUCCACGGACACCAGGUUGACCACAUCACCCACCGCACUGGCCUUUCUGGAGCCACUGGACAGAGCCAGGACUUGGCGGGUGGGCAGAAGGAGAGAAGUAAAGUGGGGAGGCCGGGGCAGAGGGAUGCCCCAGGUGGCUUCUCCACCCACUGAGCCCCACUUCACGCGUCUGCGAGGUGGGUGAGUAAAGUCUCUUAGGCCAACCUCUCAGGGCUCUUUGAGGAUCCACAGAGAUGACAAAAAUGAAAAUCCCCCAAGAUCCCUAAAGCACGGGAGGCAUAAUAAUGAAUAACAUGCACGAAAACACCAGAUUAACACAGAUAACGGUGGUCAUCUGCCCAGUGCUCACCAUGUCGCAGGCACUGUGCUAAAUGAACAGCCUUAUCCUUCCCCGGGGUGCUCACAGCCAUGAAUGGUACCAAGCAGGCACUACCAUAUUCAUUCCCUCUAAUGCCAGGCCAGGUGCAGUGGCCUCUGCCUGUAAUCCCACCACUCUGGGAGGCUGAGGUGGGAGGAUUGCUUGAUCCCAGGAGUUCGAAACCAGCCCGGGCAACAUAGUAAGACCCAAGCUCUACAAAAUACUUUAAAAAAUUAGCCAGGGGGCCGGGUGCGGUGCCUCACGCCUGUAAUCCCAGCACUCUGGGAGGCCGAGGUGGACAGAUCACCUGAGGUCAGGAGGUGGAGACCAGCCUGGCCAACAUGGUGAAACCCUGUCUCUACCAAAAAUACAAAAAUUAGCCGGGCAUGGUGGCAGGCACCUGUAAUCCCAGCUACUUGGGAGGCUGAGGCAAGAGAAUCGCUUAAACCCAGGAGGCAGAGGUUGCAGUGAGCCCAGAUCAAGCCAUUGCAUUCCAGUCUGGGCAACAAGAGCAAAAUCCACUUCAGGGGGGGAAAAAAAGAAAAAAUUAGCCAGGCAUGGUUGUGGUGUGCCUGUGGUCCCAGCUAGCUACUGGGGAGGCUGAGGUGGGAGGAUUAAUUGAGUACAGGAGGUUGAGGCUGCAGUGAGCCAUGUUGGUGCCACUGCACUCUAGCCUGGGCAACAGAGCAAGACCCUGUCUUUAAAAAACAUUCUAUGGAUAAAUUGCUCUCUAUUAUUCUCUCACCAAGGAAAAUACCACUUCCAGUUAAAUUAAGACAUGUAAGAGACAUCUCGAUUUUGGAAGUAUUAGAGUGAAAAAAAAAUGUGAGACUAGAAUCAAUGAAAUGAACAUUUACUAACCCCAUUCUAUGGCUAAAGAAACCGAGGCAGAGAGAAGUUGAGCAACUUGCCCAAAGUCACAGCCCUUGUAAGCGCCUACACAAGGAAUGGAAUUCAGGGUGACGAAGGCAUGACAAGGGUGAGACCUUUCACGUGCUUCUGUGACACCAACCUGGUUCUCUGGCAGCCUCACAUCUGCCUUAACCCUGGGGUCACAGUGGACCUCUUCCAGCCUGUUGAAUGCUAAAUUCCACAUGCAGCCCUCCCUUUGUGACUGCGUGAGGGAGUGAAGAAGUGAUCCAGGAAUGACUGGACAUAGAAAUUCUCCACUUAGCAAGUCUUUGAAGAGUGCCCACUGUGUGACUCACACUGAGCUGGGAACUGAAAAUACAGCUGUGAACAACAGAGAUGAGGCUUGCUCUCCCGGGACUGGAGUUUGAGGUGGGGAACAAGGCUCUAUAAUAAAGAUUUAUAUAACUGGCUGGGCACAGUGGCUCACACCUGUAAUCCCAGCACUUUGGGAGGCUGAGGCGGAUGGAUUGCUUGAGGCCGGGAGUUCGAGAUCAGCCUGGCCAAUAUGGCAAAACCCCAUCUCUAGUAAAAAUACAAAAAUUAACUGGGCAUGCUGGUGGGCGCCUGUAAUCCCAGCUACUUGGGAGGGUGAGGCAGGACAAUUGCUUGAACCCAGGAGGCAGAGGUUGCAGUGAGCCAAGAUUGCACCACUGCACUACAGCCUGGGUGACAGAGUGAGACUCUGUCUCAAAAAAAAUAAGACAAAACAAAAACAUUUCUAUAACUCAUGCUUUAAUGGCAGUUAUGAUGAGUAACAUAAAGUAGCCCAGGCUGAGCGCGUUGGCUCAUGUCUGUAAUCCCAGCACUUUGGGAGGCUGAGGUGGGUGGAUCACCUGAGGUCAGGAGUUCGAUACCAGCUUGGCCAACAUGGUGAAACCCUGUCUACUAAAAAUACAAAAUUAGCCGGGCAUGGUGGCGCACACCUGUAAUCCCAGCUACUCAGGAAGCUGAGACAGGAGAAUCACUUGAACCCAGGGGGCGGAGGUUGUAGUGAGCCGAGACUGUGCCACUGCACUCCAGCCUGGGCAACAAGAGGGAAACUCUGUCAGAAAAAAAAAAAAAAAAAAGCCCAGAGGUUAGAGAGGAGGGAUCUGAUCUCAUCAGGAGAUCAAAGAAGGCCUCCUGGCGGGUGGGUGGGGAAUAGGAAGAUCAAUGCCUGCUCACCAGGCGGCCUUCCUCUUAGGCUCAAGGAAAUGUGGACUCUCAAGACAGGAUAGGGCACACCCAGCUCUGGCAUGCUCAGGGGAACAGCAGCCUGGGACGCAGCACUCUGGCAGGACAGCAUCAAGAGCUGCUUUCUCGGCCACCUAGGAGCUGUCCCCUCUGUCCCCUCCUCCCCUAGGUGACAGCUCAGGUGUCAGGGAAUGACACUUACAUGGGACGGGACCUGCCCUGGCUCAGAUGCUCCAUACCCCACAGGAGCCAAUAGCUCUUGGGGCAGCAGUCCAGGGACUUAGCUCCCAGAGUCCCGGGAAGGGACAAGAGCCACUGCACAGAGAGAAGUCUAAAGCUAUGGCCUCCAACCAGGUAUUCACAGUCAAUGGACAGAACUUCCAGCCCAGAUGCAAUUUGGGUUUUUUUGUUUUGUUUUGUUUUUCUUCUGAGACGAGGUCUCGCUCUCUUACCCAGGCUGCGCUGUAGUGGCAUGAUCUCAGUUCACUGCAACCUCCACCUCCCGGGUUCAAGCGAUUCUCCUGUGUCAGCUUCCCGAGUAGCUGGAAUUACAGGCACAUGCCACCAUGCCUGGCUAAUUUUUGUAUUUUUAGUAGAGAUGGGGUUUCGCCAUGUUGGCCAGGCUGGUCUUGAACUCCUGACCUCAAGUGAUCCGCCUGUCUCAGCCUCCCAAAUUGCUGGAAUUACAGGCGUGCACCACUGUGCCCAGCCUAGGGGUCAUUUUUACCUCAAGCAGUAUUGUCUGGGAACACAGCUGACAGGCCACCUUAUCAGAAGGUUAAUCCUUUAUCCUCAAGGGGGAAUGAGUGGAAGUUAAAAUCAGGCUCAAAAAUUAAAAUUAGAUUAGGGGGAGUAGAAGUGGUGCCUAGGCAGUGAGAACAGCUGCAAAGGCCCCAGGGUGGGUGGGGGCCUGGAGUGUUUGAGGAACUGAAAGGAGACCUGUGUGGCUGGAGGAGAGUGAGCAUGGGAGGAGGUGACGGGAUGAGGUCAGAGACACCCUAGGGACAGAUCACACAAGACCUUACAGGAAUAACUAAGGAGCUGAGACAGAUCACUUGAGGCUAGGAGUUCGAGACCAGCCUGACCAACAUGGCAAAACCUUGUCUCUACCAAAAAUAUAAAAAUUAGCUGGGCGUGGUGACACGUGUCUAUAGUCCCAGUUACUCAGGAGGCUGAGGCAGGAGAAUCACUUGAACCCGGGAGGCGGAGGUUGCAGUGAGCCGAGAUCGCACCACUGCACUCCAGCCUGGGUGACAGAGCAAGACUCCGUCUCAAAAAAAUAAAUACAUAUAAUACAGAGAAAUAACUAAGGAAGUGAGAAUGUAUGGUGAGUGACUCUAAUAAGCAAGGACUGAAUGCGUUCUCAGCUGCUGAUAACAUUACUGCCUGCUCAGUGAUACUGCUUUUCCUGGCUGGGAAGACCUGCCCUUGUCCCCCAGGGCUCACCUUUCUGUACACCAGGCCAGUGAUGGCCGACCGCAGCCUCAUCUGCAGCACCUUGAGCCUGUACAUGUUCUGCUGCUCAAACAGCGUUUGCAGGCAGGCCGAGAGGAACAUCAGCACGGCGAGGAGGUAGCCCUUCCAGGCUGGAGGCUUGGGAUCACCAAUAAACUCCAGGAAAAGGCUUGCAGGGGAAGGAGGGAGAAGAACCCUCCCAAGCAGCCACAUGAACAAGUCUGAGCUAGCCUUUUGGAGGAUGGGGACCCACAUGGAGCAGAGACAGCCAUCCCAGUCUCAGAUACACAACUGCAGGCACAUGAGAAAACCCAGCCAAGAAAAGAAGAACCACCCAGCUGAGCCCAGCCCACAUUACUGACCCACAUUACCAUGAACUAAAUAAAAGAAUGUUUGUCAUUUUAA
This is a long non-coding RNA of Pan troglodytes (chimpanzee), 7829 nucleotides long. RefSeq lists it as uncharacterized. The transcript has 5 exons. NCBI's taxonomy places the organism in Eukaryota, Metazoa, Chordata, Mammalia, Primates, Hominidae. The record is from RefSeq and is a predicted model, not a curated record.